CCACCGGUAUUGCCUCAGUACGGCGAGUGAGCGGCAAAAGCUCAAAUUUUAAAGCUGGCAUCUUCGGUGUCCGCGUUGUAAUUUUGUGAGGCAUCUCCGGGUAGGGCGCCGGCCUAAGUUCCUUGGAACAGGACGUCAUAGAGGGUGAGAAUCCCGUGCUUGGCUGGCUGUCCCCGUCCAUGUGAGGUGUCUUCGACGAGUCGAGUUGUUUGGGAAUGCAGCUCAAAAUGGGUGGUAAAUUUCAUCUAAAGCUAAAUAUUGGUGGGAGACCGAUAGCGCACAAGUAGAGUGAUCGAAAGAUGAAAAGCACUUUGAAAAUAGAGUUAAAAAGUACGUGAAAUUGUUGAAAGGGAAGCGCUUGAGACCAGACUUCGGUAGGGGGUGAUCAGCUGUCCUUCUGGGCGGUGCACUUGCUCCCCUCCGGGCCAGCAUCGGUUGGGGCGGCGGGAUAAAGAUCACGGGAAUGUGGCUCCUUUCGGGGAGUGUUAUAGCCCGGGUGAAUGCCGCCAGCUCCGACCGAGGACCGCGCCUUCGGGCUAGGAUGCUUGGCAUAAUGGUCUUCAGCGACCCGUCUUGAAAAACAAAACCAAAAAA
RNAcentral lists this ribosomal RNA (594 nucleotides) under Morchella sp. RNAcentral describes it as "partial large subunit ribosomal RNA". It matches the Rfam family "Eukaryotic large subunit ribosomal RNA", at positions 66 to 664 of the family's 3401-position model. Lineage: Eukaryota; Fungi; Ascomycota; Pezizomycetes; Pezizales; Morchellaceae. The record is from RNAcentral.